AGCAGCAGCCGCGGUAAUACGCAGGGUGCAAGCGUUAAUCGGAAUUACUGGGCGUAAAGCGUGCGCAGGCGGUUAUAUAAGUCAGAUGUGAAAUCCCCGGGCUCAACCUGGGAACUGCAUUUGAGACUGUAUGGCUAGAGUGUGUCAGAGGGGGGUAGAAUUCCACGUGUAGCAGUGAAAUGCGUAAAUAUGUGGAGGAAUACCGAUGGCGAAGGCAGCCCCCUGGGAUAACACUGACGCUCAUGCACGAAAGCGUGGGGAGCAAACAGGAUUAGAUACACCCGUAGUCCCUGUCUCUUAUAC
This 303-nucleotide ribosomal RNA is filed under the name uncultured bacterium. RNAcentral describes it as "partial 16S ribosomal RNA". It matches the Rfam family "Bacterial small subunit ribosomal RNA", at positions 507 to 807 of the family's 1533-position model. The record is from RNAcentral.